This 487-nucleotide ribosomal RNA is filed under the name uncultured Bacillota bacterium. Its description in RNAcentral is "bacterial SSU rRNA". It matches the Rfam family "Bacterial small subunit ribosomal RNA", at positions 355 to 833 of the family's 1533-position model. Lineage: Bacteria; Bacillati; Bacillota. The record is from RNAcentral.
UAGGGAAUCUUCCGCAAUGGACGAAAGUCUGACGGAGCAACGCCGCGUGAGCGAUGAAGGCCUUCGGGUCGUAAAGCUCUGUUGUUAGGGAAGAACAAGUAUCGGAGUAACUGCCGGUACCUUGACGGUACCUGACCAGAAAGCCACGGCUAACUACGUGCCAGCAGCCGCGGUAAUACGUAGGUGGCAAGCGUUGUCCGGAAUUAUUGGGCGUAAAGCGCGCGCAGGCGGUUUCUUAAGUCUGAUGUGAAAGCCCCCGGCUCAACCGGGGAGGGUCAUUUGGAAACUGGGGAACUUGAGUGCAGAAGAGGAGAGCGGAAUUCCACGUGUAGCGGUGAAAUGCGUAGAGAUGUGGAGGAACACCAGUGGCGAAGGCGGCUCUCUGGUCUGUAACUGACGCUGAGGCGCGAAAGCGUGGGGAGCGAACAGGAUUAGAUACCCGUGGUAUCCACGCCGUAAACGAUGAGUGCUAAGUGUUAGAGGGUUU